GACGAACGCUGGCGGCGUGCCUAAUACAUGCAAGUAGAACGCUGAAGAGAGGAGCUUGCUCUUCUUGGAUGAGUUGCGAACGGGUGAGUAACGCGUAGGUAACCUGCUAUGUAGCGGGGGAUAACUAUGGGAAACGAUAUCUAAUACUGCAGAACAAUGGAUGACACAUGACAUUUAUUAGAAUGGGGCAAUUGCUCCACGACAAGAUGGACCUGGGAUUUAUUAGCUAGUAGGGGAGGGAAUGGCCCACCGAGGCGACGUUACAUAGCCGACUCGGGGGGGAGGUCGGCCCCACUGGGACUGGGGCCAGGCCCCAGCUCCUUCCGGGAGCAGCCGUAGGGAAUCUUCGGCAAUGGGGGCCACCCUGACCGCGCACCUCCGCGUGAGUGAAGAAGGUUUUCCGAUCGUAAAGCUCUGUUGUAAGUCAAGAACGGGUGUGAGAGUGGAAAGUUCACGCUGUGACGGUAGCUUACCAGAAAGGACCGGCUAACUACGUG
Molecule: ribosomal RNA, 497 nt
Filed under: uncultured bacterium
Lineage: Bacteria
Description: partial 16S ribosomal RNA
Rfam family: Bacterial small subunit ribosomal RNA
Source: RNAcentral